UUUCAGAUGCCGAAAACCGUUAGCUAGCUAAGACCACAAACGGUAAUCGAAACGUCAUUUCUCUAUCUUCACGUAUUCUGGCCUGGUUGCGCUCUUUAUUUCUCCCUCUGCAGAACAAAAUGGCAGCAGCAAAACUGCCAAUAUCUAUAGUCUAUAGAACAGUAAAAUCAAUGGCGAAUGAUCGCACCAUGCUUCGUUCUCCUCCCUCGAAACCGCAGCAGCGCAGAACCAUAUCAGCCUUCGAAGCUCGCGUCUCUCUCCUCUUCGCGCUCGCUUCACAAUCUGCUUCUCUCUCUCAACGAGUUGUGGCUGAUUUUGUUGCUGAAACUAGCAAGUAUAUUGUUCCGAAGCAAUUAGAGAGUCGAAAUCUCGAAGAAGCUUUAAUGACUGUUCCGGACCUUGAGACCGUGAAUUUUAAGGUGUUGAGUCGGAAGUCUGAGUAUGAGAUCCGAGAAGUUGAGCCUUAUUUUAUAGCAGAGACAACCAUGCCUGGGAAAGAAGGCUUUGAUUUCUUUGGACCUUCUCAGUCCUUCAACGUGUUAGCUGAGUAUCUGUUCGGUAAGAAUAUACCAAAUGAGAAGAUGGAGAUGACAACACCUGUUAUCACUCGUAGGACUUCUGACGGAGAGAGAAUGGAAAUGACGACCCCUGUGAUUACAAGGAGGGUGGGGAGUAAAGAGUGGAAGAUGUCUUUUGUCAUGUCUUCAAAAUAUGGUUCCAAUCUGCCCGAACCAAAGGAUUCAAAUGUGAGGAUCACUGAGGUGCCGAAGAAAAUAGUUGCAGUUGCUGCCUUUUCAGGUUAUGUUACUGAUGAAGAAGUCAAGCAACGCGAGUCAAAACUGAGAGAUGCGUUGAAGAAUGACUUGGAGUUUGGAGUAAAAGUGGGAUCAGAAGUGGAAGUUGCACAGAGUGGCUGUGUACUAAAGUCAUAGAAAAUACUGCUUGGACUUCCGUAAGAGAUAAGCAUAAUUCUUAUGGUUGCCAAGGGGGUUUAUAGGAUUUGUUGAAGGUGUAAACGUACUAAUCUUUCCUCAAAGUAGAUUAGAUUGAUUUUGUUUUGGAACAUUAGAAAGUGUAGGCUGGUUAAGGAUAAGAUACAUCUGUACAUCUGAACUUUAGAUUGAUACUUUGAUAGUGUACAUCUGAACAAGCCCUGAAAACGGUGCUGUUGAUUGUAGUUGGUCCUCCCAAUACGCUAAUUUCAUUACCCCUUUGGUUAAGCCUGACUUUUCAAACAUUUCUUAAAAUUUAGUUGGUACAGUGGAGUCCGGGAGGAAAAGGUGCUGAAGUAAUAAACUAAGAAAGUGGGUAUCAUGGAUAAGAGAAUAAGAGAUUCAGGGGAAAAAAAAACCAAGAUAAAAAGAGUUGCUUAAAAGGCUGAAUUGUCUGGAAUGUCGUCGCCAUGACAGGUGAAAGACAUGUUGUCUAGCACCAACGUAGCGGAACCAAUUAGGAAUAGAAUAUAGAUAGAUUGAGUUAUGACAUUCUCUUUCCAUUUUAACUUCUAUCUCUGCGUGAAUUUUAGACUUAAUUAUUGAAGAUCUAUGGCUAGGACAGACGCUUUCUUAUUCAGUACGGAGUAUGUACAUGGUUGCCUCCCUGAACUGCAGCUUUAGUUGUUCUUCACUAUGUGCUACUCAUAUACAUGAUCUGACCUGACACGCAAAAACUCUUAUGAAGGUGACAUUUUCUUUUCCUGCAUCUCAAGAAGAAAACCUUUUUCCUUUUGAAUUGCCGGCAUGUUUUCCCCUAAAGGAUUAUUUGGUGGAAAAAUGACAUUUCAUUCUAAUGAUCUCCUAAAAUAAACCAAACUAAUUCUAAUACCCUCUUAAUCAUCUUGUUUAUAAUCAAUUUGUUUAGUUACAAACAAAACAAGUUUAGAUUUCUAAAUGAUAAUUUUGAUUUAUUGUUUAGUAUUGAAGUGUUCUCUAAUUGUAUGGAAAUCACAUUCCACAUCCAUCUGUGCUACUGUCUCCUGUUUUUGUUUUCAUGCAACAUAGAUGACCAGUAUUGGAUACUAGGCAUGUAGCUAAUUGAUGUUUAUAUAGAGAUAAAGGCAACACUUGAGAGUAAAAAGACUAGUUAACAGAAUGUUUUGUAUUGAUAUGUAUGAUUGUAUGUUGUUUCACUUUGGUGAAUUGCCUUGAGCAAAGAUUGUACUAGCUAGCCUUGUUUUUGAUGUAUUUUGCUUGAACAAGUAUAAUUAUCUUUUGGUGAACUAUACUUGUGAAAGAAAAAUAAGUCAAAUUUCAUUUACUAAUUACAAAUGUAUUUAACAGUCUACUUCACUAAUGCUUUUCAAAGCAGGCAUCCAUGUCUUGUUUCCAUAACUCUCUUCAUCUGUUGGACAUGUAUCAUUCUGUUGCUUGGAAACUAGUUCAUCCAGUGAGAAAGCUCCAUUUUCUAGCAUCUCCUUCAGCUCCUGCUUGCUGAUAACCAACUUAAUGGUUAAACUCGUGUCUUGGCUCUUGCUUUCUUCCACUUUCUCUGGUUGAGCAAAACUUACCCUUUUUUUAAUUUUUGGAGAUUGAGUCGGAAGAAGUAUAAGGUAGUAUAGGCGACCAGCCACCAAUUCGAUAUUCUGCUUCAAAUACUGCAGGACUGGAAGUUUAUCUGACAGUCCAUAUCCCUGAAAUCCUGAUAACACGUCGUUCACUCUUACGGGCGCUUUGUAUUCAAGGAUUUUACCAUCAGGUUUCAAAAUUUGUACUAGAUUUCCUUGUGAUCUUAAACAGUUUCCCAUGGCUUAAACAGCUUUAUGUAUAGCUAUUGGAGAGAUUGUUUGUUCUCAGUGAACUAUUAAACUAGUAUGCUAUCAUGCUAUGUGUUUUUACAAGUUUUAAA
Molecule: RNA transcript, 2844 nt
Organism: Spinacia oleracea (spinach)
Lineage: Eukaryota; Viridiplantae; Streptophyta; Magnoliopsida; Caryophyllales; Amaranthaceae
Gene name: heme-binding-like protein At3g10130, chloroplastic
Exons: 10
Source: RefSeq, a predicted model, not a curated record